Molecule: long non-coding RNA, 555 nt
Organism: Canis lupus familiaris (dog)
Lineage: Eukaryota; Metazoa; Chordata; Mammalia; Carnivora; Canidae
Exons: 2
Source: RefSeq, a predicted model, not a curated record
UCCCUCACCCUGUGUCCCUGGUCUCCUCCUCCCCCUCCUCCCUGGCGUCCUCCCCUGUCUGUCAGUGCUCCCUCCUCGGAUCCCAGCUCCAAGCAGAGGCAGCACGACCCCGGACCCUCAGACGACACCACCGAGGCCCGCGGUAGUGCUGCUCCCUAAAAUUAGUCCAAGUACCCCCAAAGUGUGGCUGCCUUGCAUACUGCGGCCUUACCAAUGGAAGCACCUUGCAAUCUAAAUGAUCAGAUUGCUAAGGAUCGGUCCGUGUUCCACGCUCGUUGCCGUCGUGUGUCGCAAAGUCGGGUCCCCACGCCGCUUGCGUGUGCUACGAAGAUGGAUACUGAAUUCAGCCCAGUUGGUCUGUGACUGCUGCUGGAGGUCAUCACCGUGCCUGUCACAUCUGUUACUGCUGUCAUGAAACCACGUCCUCAGGGCCAGCGGAGGUGCUUUCCGCUGUUGGCUACAUAACGGCUGAGCCCGCAGCGGUUGUGAGUUCUACAGAGUCGCUACUGCGCACACAUGGCUGUUCAAAUGAAAAUAAAUGACAUUAAAAAUUCA